This 520-nucleotide ribosomal RNA is filed under the name Cheirogaleus medius (lesser dwarf lemur). RNAcentral describes it as "partial 16S ribosomal RNA". It matches the Rfam family "Bacterial large subunit ribosomal RNA", at positions 1848 to 2582 of the family's 2925-position model. The record is from RNAcentral. Lineage: Eukaryota; Metazoa; Chordata; Mammalia; Primates; Cheirogaleidae.
GGAGGCACUGCCUGCCCAGUGACACAUGUUUAACGGCCGCGGUAUCCUGACCGUGCAAAGGUAGCAUAAUCACUUGUUCUCUAAUUAAGGACUUGAAUGAAUGGCAACACGAGGGUUCAGCUGUCUCUUACUUUCAAUCAGUGAAAUUGACCUCCCCGUGAAGAGGCGAGGAUACUACAAUAAGACGAGAAGACCCUAUGGAGCUUAAAUCAAAUAAUCCAAAUAUAAUGCCCCUCAAACCUAAAAGCUGGUAUAACCAAAUAAUAUUAUUGGAUUAAAAAUUUCGGUUGGGGUGACCUCGGAGCACAACAAAACCUCCGAACAACUUUAACCUAGACCUAACUAGUCAAGGUAUACACAUCAUCAAUUGACCCAAAACUAAUUUGAUCAACGGAACAAGUUACCCUAGGGAUAACAGCGCAAUCCUAUUAAAGAGUCCAUAUCGACAAUAGGGUUUACGACCUCGAUGUUGGAUCAAGACACCCCAAUGGUGCAACCGCUAUUAAUGGUCCGUUUGUUC